RNAcentral lists this long non-coding RNA (607 nucleotides) under Rattus norvegicus (Norway rat). Its description in RNAcentral is "long non-coding RNA NONRATT002040". The record is from RNAcentral. Lineage: Eukaryota; Metazoa; Chordata; Mammalia; Rodentia; Muridae.
CCCUGGUAUUUGAGGGAACGUCAGGUCAAGGUAACCAAGUCUGCCUACCACAUGGAAUGAGCCUGGCCUUAGGGAACUACAUCCCCAGCCCCCACUGCCUUAGGAACUACAUCCCCAGCCCCCACUGCCUUAGGAACUACUUCCCCAGCCCCCACUGCCUUAGGAACUACUUCCCCAGCCUCCACUGCCUUAGGAACUACAUCCCCAGCCCCCACUGCCUUAGGAACUACUUCCCCAGCCUCCACUGCCUUAGGAACUACUUCCCCAGCCUCCACUGCCUUAGGAACUACUUCCCCAGCCUCCACUGCCUUAGGAACUACUUCCCCAGCCUCCACUGCCUUAGGAACUACUUCCCCAGCCCCCACUGCCUUAGGAACUACAUCCCCAGCCCCCACUGCCUUAGGAACUACAUCCCCAGCCCCCACUGCCUUAGGAACUACAUCCCCAGCCCCCACUGCCUUAGGAACUACAUCCCCAGCCCCCACUGCCUUAGGAACUACAUCCCCAGCCCCCACUGCCUUAGGAACUACAUCCCUAGCCUAGCCUCUGCUGCCUUCAGGAACUACUUCCUCUAGUCUCCGCUGCUAUUUGUUCUCUUUUGACCUCC